GACUCCGUGGUGAAGUUCAUAGUGAGUUGCAAGCUCAUUGAUGCGCAUUAGCACUGCGCCGGGGUCU
RNAcentral lists this transfer RNA (67 nucleotides) under Sylvia galinieri. RNAcentral describes it as "tRNA-Cys". Lineage: Eukaryota; Metazoa; Chordata; Aves; Passeriformes; Sylviidae. The record is from RNAcentral.